Molecule: non-coding RNA, 224 nt
Organism: Pelobates cultripes (western spadefoot toad)
Lineage: Eukaryota; Metazoa; Chordata; Amphibia; Anura; Pelobatidae
Source: the annotation of a GenBank genome assembly
CACAGUUGAUGCAGAGUCUGGUUUUAAUCCAUAAAGGGCAGAAAUCACCUAAGAUUCCUAAAUCACAAUGGAUAUGGAUUGAUACCUGACAUAUGACAUAUUGGCACAGAGCAGAAUAGGGACUGUUCCCCCUACAUAGGGUCACUUGGCAGAUAUGAAUUGACACCUGUCCUAAGGAUCCCUGAUACACACUGACACAGAGCAGAAUAGGGACUGUUUCCCCU